CAUCAAAACUCCGCCCUCCUUCAGAAGAAACUGAGCAUUUCCUACUUUUCUGCUGUCUAUACGUUUGAUUUGCACAGCUCAGCUGGCCAGAGGAGCUGAGACAUCCGUUCCCCUACAAGAAAUUCUCCCCGGAUUGAGCAAAAUGGACUACGAAACCACGAGUCCGAUGGACUAUGGCAUCGAUUACAGCAUAUCAGAUCCCUGCCAAAAAAUCGACGUGAGGCAGAUCGCAGCCCAGCUCCUGCCCCCGCUCUACUCGCUGGUGUUCAUAUUUGGUUUCGUGGGCAACAUGCUGGUCGUCCUCACCCUGAUCAACUGCAAAAAGCUGAGGAGCAUGACUGACAUCUACCUGCUCAAUCUGACCAUCUCUGACCUGCUGUUUCUUCUCACCCUUCCCUUCUGGGCCCACUAUGCGGCAAAUGGGUGGGUCUUCGGGAAUGUAGUGUGUAAACUAUUCACCGGGCUGUAUCACAUUGGCUAUUUUGGUGGAAUUUUCUUCAUCAUCCUCCUGACAAUUGAUAGGUACCUGGCGAUUGUCCAUGCCGUGUUUGCUGUAAAAGCCAGGACAGUCACCUUUGGGGUGGUGACAAGUGGGGUCACCUGGGUGGUGGCUGUGCUUGUCUCUCUCCCAGGGAUCAUCUUUACCAGAUCCCAAAAAGAAGGUUCUCGUUAUACAUGCAGCCCUCAUUUUCCAUCAAGUCAGUAUCAUUUCUGGAAGAAUUUCCAGACUUUAAAGAUAACCAUCUUGGGCCUGGUGCUGCCACUGCUUGUCAUGGUCAUCUGCUACUCGGGAAUCCUGAAAACCUUGCUUCGGUGUCGAAACGAAAAGAAGAAGCACAAGGCUGUGAGGCUCAUCUUUGCCAUCAUGAUUGUCUACUUUCUUUUCUGGGCUCCCUACAACAUCGUCCUUGACCUGAGCACCUUCCAGGGCUUCUUUGGCCUAGAUAAUUGCGAUAGCUCUAACAGGCUGGACCAAGCCAUGCAGGUGACAGAGACUCUUGGGAUGACACACUGCUGCAUCAACCCCAUCAUCUAUGCCUUCGUUGGGGAGAAGUUCCGAAACUACCUCUUGGUGUUCUUCCGAAAGCACGUUGCCAAACGCCUCUGCAAACAUUGUUCAAUCUUCCAGCGGGAGGCUCCCGAGCGAGUAACCUCAGUAUAUACUCGAUCCACGGGGGAGCAGGAGAUCUCUACAGGUCUGUGAGCUGGACUCAGUCACGUACACGGCUCAGCUACACACAGCCUAUGGUGGGAGAGACCCUUUCAAAAGGGAUGUUACUGCCACAGAGGGCCUGAGAGUCACACAUCUCUUUGGCAUCCAUUUGAAGAAUAUGAGAUAUUUAAGCCUGUGCAUUCUAGAAAGCUGAAUCAAAAUAUGUUGAUGAAAUAGCAACCUUCUCAUCUCCCCUCCACAGAUAUCUACUUACGGGCAACCUCUUCCUUUACUGCAAAUAUUCGUUACAGACAAAAAAAAAAGUCAGAGAAUUGUUAGUUCUUGAAUUUGGUUGCCUGAACAGGAAUAACAAAAUUAAUCAAGGAGUUUAUCGUAGCGCUUCUUACCUUGAGCAAGCCAAUGUGCAGGCUGUAAAUUUGCGUCACACAAGGUCCUCGUCCUGCCUUGGGGAGAAAAGCCAUGAGCAGGAGGGCUAAGGAACUACAUCGGCUGCGUGUGGUUUCCCCUGGAAGGUAUACAUGGCUCUUAAGCUCUACUGGGGUUCAGAGCCAGUUGUCUUUCAGAAGCAGCUGGAUAAAACCAGCCCCAGGGACAUGCGCAGAACAUCCACGUGUGACCUUCCACCAGGGGCACUGAGGAGCUGAAGCUGCAGCUGGGGAAUGGAACUCGGGGAGAGAGAGACUGCAGAGGUGCAACACCCCGUAAUAAGUCCUGCUAUGAAUCCCAGAGGCCUCUGGGACAGGAGCCAUCUUAGAAAGGUGUUGCGUGUGCACCGUAGUUAACAUAUCCCCCACCUAUGCCUAUGAAUAAACACGAAUCUUUUCCCACCCAAAAACUUUUAAAAACCCAGGCAAGUCUUUUGUUCUGUGAGAUGGGGGUAAGCAUAGCUUAGGCCCUCCUCACCUCCGCUUGCAAGCCUCUUCAAUAAAGCUUUGCCCGUGUGGAAAACUCUGCAUGCCUCACCUGUUCAUUCUUGACCAGUGAGAGGCAAGAACCUCAUUUCAUUCUGGCAACAUUUAAGCAUCUGUCAUUUGUCUAGGUUUGAAAGUGAAGAAGAUAAGUGUUAAAAGAGAGAAAACGGGAACAGGACUUGCCAGGUUCCCCUGAGUGUGCGGGAACAUUCACGAAGGCUGCUGGCCAGUCUGAAAUGCAUCCAAGAACAGACAAAAGAAAUAAUGUAGAGAUAAAAAAAAAAAACACCCAAGAACAGACAAAAGAAAUAAUGUAGAGAUAGGUAAUCAUAAAAUCUCAAACCUCCUCUGGGACAAGACAACUGUGAUAACCAUGAAGAUAUUUAAAGUUUAUCCUUUGCAAAGAAUUUAACUUUAGGCGAUUUUGAAUGAAUGGAGGCCAUAGAAACCACCUAGUAACCCAAUGUCAGCCGAUCUCAGAAAGGGGCGCAGGGUUUUAAUCAAUCCUGUUGAGACUAGCCAAUGGUUUAUUUUUCCUGUUUCCUCCUCUUCCCCUUAAAAGUCUCACUGUAACCAGCUUGCAUUGAGCCACUAGUUUUUUAGAAAAAAAUGGUCUCCCUGUAUGCGUACAGAACAGCUGCUUGAAUAAACACUGUAUGCUUUAAUUCAUUGGUGCUUUGAUUAUUUUUUGCACAAUUAAUGCCAUGGCCUGGCCAUUUAUCCCCAGUCCUGAGUUGCAGACACAUGACGUGUGAGGAUGAGUUUGGUUGCUGUAAAGGUUGCUAUGCUUUUCUUUCAUCUCCAUCCCUCCAAAAAAAAUUGGCUGCAAUCCAGUGAUGGUAAUGGUGAACAUCUGGAUUCGGUUCAAGUGUCUCACAUCCUGAGUACCCCAAGUAGAGAGGAUUCUAAAGCACUGGCCACAGUCACACUGGGAGACGACACAUGAGCCGAGCAGAAGACAGUGGAACUGGUUCUUAGGGUGGCCUCUCAGCAACUCUUUUGGCCAAAAGGUGGAAUGAACCAAGGGAGGGUCUGAGGGGGUGGGGUUAGAAUAGAGGGAAGGGAUCAAAGAGAAGAGAGAUACUUCCCAUGUGGUGAAGGUAGCCACCAUGUGGCAGUUGGAAGAUGCCAAUUCUUAAGGCUGGUGUCCAGGUACUGCUUAGCCACUUCCUAUCUUAUUAAAGGAAUCUAAUGUUAACUUGAGGAAAAAGCUAUUAGAGGUGUCUGCAGCCUUUCCAAGGCCUGUCUCAACCAUGUCCUGGGCCCAUCCCUUUACUGCUUGCUGUCCUGGAUCUUGAGCCCUGAGCUCCUCCCUGGCUUUGAAGGUCCUUCCACUCCCCAUCUCUUCUCUCCCUGUUCCUUUGAUUGACAAACAAGUACAACCUUCAAGAUCUGAUUCUAUUCACCAUUCUUUGGGAGGUACCAUACUGCCUCAACCCAAAAUUUCCCAUCAAGGAGGGGGUUCUGUAUAUGCCAUGGAUAAAAUCAAAGUUAAGGUUAAAGUCCUUAACAGGAAGAAAUAAUUUGCGAAUUCAUGAAUAAGGAUUCUCUUUACAUCUGUAUUCUAAGGAUUCUUAGUAUAAGCAGCUCUGUAUAAAUUAAAACACAUUGACAUUUCCACUGUUAUGAUUAAAUCGACAAGUCAUUUAUUUCCUAUCCCAGGGAGAGACAGAAUCCCAAACUUGAACAUCAACUUUCAAAUGUUAAUUCCUCUAAUGAAGACACAAGGCUUACUGCCAGUUACCCUGGAGGCUAGGAUUAGAAAUGUGAAUCAGAAAACAAGUCGUGAACUUUCUAACAAUUCUUUAGUUUUUUAACAUAUCCAUUUACCUAUAGUCAAAGUGGAGCUCUGGUGGCUCAGUGGUUAAGAGCUUGGCUGCUAACCAAAAGGUCAGUAGUUUGAGCCCACCAGCUACUCCUUGGAAACUCUAUGAGGCAGUUCUACUGUCUUACAGGGCCAGUAUGAGCCGGAAUCAAAUCGACUUGAUGGCAACGAUUUGGUGUUUUGUUUGUUUGUUUUUUAUAGGCAGAGUAUUUAGAAAGCAUUCCAUAACUUCAGGGAUGAGAAUGAAUUGAAGAGGCAAAAACACAAAUGCAUUUCCAUAGCUCCUUCUCUUUUAAAUAAAAUUCACUACAAAAGCCUUGCUUGUAAUGCUUAAUGGGUACUGAGUUUCUGUUUGGGAUAAUUUAAAAGUUUUAGAAAUAGACAGGUGGCGUAGUGAUUAAGAGCUACAGCUGCUAAUCAAAAGGUCAGCAGUUCGAAUCCACCAGGUGCUCCUUGGAAACUCUAUGGGGGCAGUUUUACUCUGUCCUAUAGGGUCACUAUGAGUCAGAAUUGACUCGACGGCCACAGGUUUCUGUUUUUUUUGGUUUCGAUGGUUGCACAACAUUGUGAAUAUAAUCAGUGCCACUGAACUGUACACUUAAAAAUCAUUAAAAUGGCAAUUUAUGUAUUUUACAAUUAAAAAAAGUUCUCAUGUUUUUUCAAAACAUAGACUUCAAUGUUUUAAAUGCUGUAUUUAUGCAUAAAAGUCAUAAUUGUGACAAAAUUCCCACUUUCCUUCAUACUUUUAUAUAAGCAUUUUUCCAAGUCUUACUGAAUGUACAUGGCUCUGUAACCCAACGAGAUUCUUGUCCUGUCCUAUUAAAUUAGCCGAUGGAAAUAAUACGGACACCACACUGCCAGUUGCAAGGGAAACAGAAAGUGGAAAUUUAUUGUCUGCACAGACAAGGAGCAACGAGGGGCCUAGCAACCAUAAGACCACAUGCUCACUGUCUGAGGGGUUUGGGGAACUUUUUAUUUCCAAUGGCAUCUGGGAGGUUGUGUUUGGCACCCAGAACUCUCCACCUUUAGCCCUCCCAUGUCCACAUUUAGAGGUCCGGAUGUUGAAUCACGUCAGUGAUGCUCAGGUCCAAGGACGAGCACGGGAUUCUGGUACCAAACUCAAACUGCAGUUAGGGCAACAAUGUGGUCGGGCCAAACCGCAGUUAGAAGCCCUGGCUUGGCAGGCUGCAAGGUGGGGGGUAACUAUGGCAGAGCGGGUGGGAUAUCUCGGUGGAAGCUUCAGCUCCAUAUUGUUAUUACUUUCUUUUGAUUAUAAUUUUUGUGUCAUUAUAAUUCUGUUAUGUUAUUUUUCUUAAAGUGGUAACUAGUUUCAAAGAGCAUAUGUGGAAAGACGAAAGUUUUUUCCAACUAAAUUCAAUGGAAAGGCCUUCAAAGCCACGCUUUCAAGACCCCUGGGACAUACAGUAUCCCACCCAUUUUUAUGCCUCUGGAGUUCUUUGGAAAGGGGGUAGUCCGAUUUUAACCCAUUUAGCCUCGAGGAAGGAGCCUUUCAAAAUGGUUGAAACUCAGAAAUCCUCAUUGGGAGCCUCAUUUUUGUGUACAUUGAACAUUGCCUUAGGUGAUACCUCCCAGAUGUGUGAAUCUUCUAAACUUUGGACAAGUUUGUCCUUAUUUCUGUGCAAUAAGCCUCCUCACUAUACUUCCCAGUUACUGUGUUCUCAUAAGAAUGCACUUAAUGGAAGAAUAAGUUAUUGCCAGUCUUCAUUCAGUCACAGUGGCCAUUUUCUCCUUUAUGCCAUUCAUUAUUCCCAAGUGUUACUGGCUCCUUACUUUUCUAGCUUCUGAACAGUGAAUAAUGCCUUUCCCAUAAGAAAUAAUGCACUUCAGUUAGGGCCCAAUCAUUGCUUCCUUGUGUAGCAGGUGGAACGCACCACUGUGAGCAGUUCUGCAGUAUUCCCGGGCAGCCGUUUCUGCUUCUUAGCUGUUAGUACUGCUUUUGUUGUAAUGAAGAAUACAUAGUAGUGGUAAUUUUCCUGCGAUUCAAAUUCCUUUAGUUUUGUUUAUUUUGCCUCUAAGUACUGCUUUUGCAGUAAUGAAGACUGCAUUGUAGUGGUAAAUUUUCUGAGAUAAAAAAAAAAUUCUUUUUUUUUUUUAUUUAUAUGUGCUAUAAGUGCUACUUUUGCUGUAAGGAAAUGUCAUGAAUCGAAUUGUGUCUCCCCAAAAUAUGUGUCAACUUGGUUAGGCCAUGAUUCCCAGGAUUCUGUGGUUGUCCUCCAUUUUGUGAUUGUAAUUUUAUGUUAAAGAGGAUUAGGGUGCAAUGUAACACCCUUACAAGGUCACAUCCCUGAUCCAAUGUAAAGGGGGUUUCCCUGGGAUGUGGCCUGCACCACUUUUUAUCUCUCAAGAGAUAAAAGGAAAGGGAAGAAAGCAGAGGUCCGGGGACCUCAUACCCCCAAGAAAGCAGCGCAGGAUGCAGAGCACAUCCUUUGGACCCGAGGUUCCUGCACUGAGAUGCUCCCAGACCGAGGGAAGACUGAUGACAAGGACCUUCCUUCAGAGCCGAUAGAAAGAGAAAGGCUUCCCCUGGAGCUGACAACCUGAAUUUGGACUUGUAGCCUACUAGACAGUAAGAGAAUAAAAAUCUCUUUGUCAAAGCCGUCCACUUGUGGUAUUUCUGUUACAGCAGCACUAGAUGGCUGCUAUAGGAAGAAUGCGUUCUCCGUGUUUCAAAGUUUCAUGAAAAAUAAUAAGGCUAAGAAGGAGACUACAAUAAAGUGUAUGUGCAGUCAUUACCAGGUGCCUUCAUAUUUCAUCUCAUGUUUUGCAAAUUUUCAAGAAGUAAAAUUUAAAAAUUAAAAAAAAAAAACAAAAAACUUUAUCAUUGACUCAUAUUGGCAGGAUUUACAUUGUCCAGUGUAUGCUGGGAUACAUGGGAUCCCAAAUAAUAGGUAUCAAAAUUCAUAACUCAUAACAAAAAUUCUGAACUAGUCCUUUAAUCAGCAUGCCUUCAUUAGUGAAAACACACAGUAUCAACAAAAAAUUCAGGGGAGAAAACAGUUGGGUCUUGAAAGGGUUAAUAGCCUUGGACUCUACUGCCCCCCUGUGGCUACUUUAGGAAAACAACAAGCCACCUGCAGCCAGACUUUCUCUGUUAUUCUGUGUGCAUUGUUCACAGAGAAUAUAUACUGAGUAUUUAUACACUCAGCGGUUUCGUGUUUGUCUCUGACAGUGCCAUUCUGCCUGUGGACAAGAGGUGUUUCCAUAGUGGCUCAGAGUUGAUGAUGCACAACUCACUCCAGUUUUUUCUCUGAAGGACAGGAGCAGCAUCAGUGAAGGAGAGAGGUAGAACCUGUGGUGAAAUGAAGGUUCCAACUUCCCACGGAAAUCUCUGCAGAGCCCUUAGCUCACAGCCUUACAACAAGGCCAGAAAAGGCUUUGUGUCAAACCAUUUCUCGUAGUCCAUGAGAUGCCCCAAGAACUUCCCACAUUUAUCUCUGCAAUCCUGUGUGCCCAAGUGUGUGAAGCAAUCAAACCCAAUUGGGAUAUAACCCAACCCAGUGCCGCUGAGUCGAUUCCGACUCAUAGCGACCCUAUAGGACAGAGUAGAACUGCCCCAUACAGUUUCCAAGGAGUGCCUGGCAGAUUCGAACUGCCAACCAUUUGGUUGGCAGCCGCAGCACUUAAAAGUGGGCUCUUUUUUAUUCGUGUUUUUCUUCCUCCAUUACCGUUAAUGCCUCUAUUGGUUAAACCCUCUGACAGAGUCAUAUCAUUUGAAGACAGAAAGGUUUUUAAGGAUCAGUCAGGUGAAGAGGAGAACCCACCCCAAUCCCCAGAGCUUCCGAUGGAGUCAGUCUGGCGUGGGUCUAAGCACCUGGUAUGUGUUUAAUUUCAUGCAGUGCUCCCUAUGAGCAGCCAAUGGUGAACCACUGAGCAGGACUCAGGAGAGCAGCUCUAACCACCCUCACAACUGGCACCUGUGCUAAUUUAGGGUCCUUGGGCCUGGAAUUUGGGGUCCCUUGGAAACUCUAGGGGGCAGUUCUACUCUGUCUUAUAGGGUCUCUAUGAGUCAGAAUCAGUUCGACGGCAACAGGUUUGCUUUUGGGGGGGUGGCACGGUGGUUAAAGCACUCAGCUGCUAACCGAAAGGUCGGCAAUUCGAAUUCACCAGGUGCUCCUUAGAAACCCUAUGGCGCAGCUCUACUCUGUUCCGCAGGGUCUCUAUGAGUCGGAAUUUACUCAGCAGCGAUGGGUUUAGUUUUUUUGUCUAGAGGAAUAAACCAAAUAUCAAACUUCUGGUCUGAUAUAGACCCUACAGCUCAAGGCAAACUGGGAGAAUGGAAGUUGCAGGCCAAUUGCCCACAUCCCUCCCUCCAGGACUCCCACAGAAGCAUAUGCCAAGGAGAAACAAAGUACAAACCAAUGUGCCAAAAACUAGGCAAGCCCUGGAUACCAAUGAGAAGUUCUGGGAAAAUUCCAGGGCAGACACAGUUUAGAUAUAGUGUGAUUUCUUAUCCCAACCCGAAAUCUACACUUGGGACCCACACCCUCAGGUGUGUCUGUGGAAAAGGGAUGCAACAAAGAGAUCCCAAGUUCACACCUCCUCCCAUGGAGGCAGGGGUAGUCAGAGUGGGAGAAGGAUGGGAAGCGUCUUCCAAUUAUCCCCUGAGGGGAGAGAGAGAACUUGGGCAGAAGUUCUGCCCUUCCUCUGAGCAGAAGCAGAAGCAUGGGGAGAGGGGAAGUGAGCAAGGAUCUCCCCAGUGCACUUCAAUUCUGCAUUAACCAUUUGCAGCUCAACAUUCAGCAUUCAUUCACUCAACAAGCAUUUACAGAGGACUUACUAUGUGCAAGACACCAAACUAUGCCAUGAAAGAGAGUCCCUGUCCUCACAAGAUUCACUAUUUAGAGAGAAAGCAGGCACAUAAAGUUACACUGGUGUUUGAAAAGCACAGAGAAGGGUAAGUUAUCCCAAACCAAGGAUAGGGCCUUAGGGAACGGGGUCAGGGAGGGCAUACUGCAGUAGUCUAGUGUUAAGGGUGGCUUAGAAGCUGCUUAGGUGGAGCACGGGAGUAGUAACAAUGUACAGGAGUGUGCAGAGGUGAGACAAUGCAAAUGGCAAGGCAAGGAUGAGACAGAUGAUGGAUGGAUGGACGGAGGCUGUGAGUGUGAGCGUGAGCAUGAGUGGCUAUCCAUCUGCACGCAUUCCCCCUGCAGGAGAGCAGCAGCAGUGACUAGUAUGGAGGUAAGGAGAGGACCAAAAAGUGCCGCCUCCAGCCUCCCCCUGGAUAAAACGGGACAGGGAGUCUCCCCAAAACAGCACACACAUGCGUUAACUAUUCAUGACCAACCUUCCACAUUCACUCAUUAAUUACCAACAUUCAUUGAGUGUUUACUGUGUGCAAUUUCUAUGUCAAGCUGUCAAGUGUAGAGUUUAUCUUACAGACCACAGAAACCACUGCGCUGUUAAGCAAGAGAGUGACAUAAUCACACCAGCUUUGCUUUUUUAGAAAAAGUCUUCUGACCAUAGGGAAAAGGAGAGAGACUCCAAGAUGGAGCAAGCGAGUCACGAGCUUGCUGUAGUCAUCCUUAACCAGGCCCGAGUGGAGGCAGAGGCGCCAGGGUGGAGAGGAGGCAAGGGUCCCCUGGGGCCAGGGGCCGAGGCCUCCAGGAAGCAGUUAUUCCCAGAAAGCUGACGCUCACCUCUUUUAGUGUCAGUUUUAACAUAAUCAUUUUGUAAAGAAAGUCCUCUUAAAAAAAAAAACAAAAAAAAACCUGUUGCUGUCAAGUCGAUCAACUCAUAGCUGCCCUAAAGGACAGAGAAGAGCUGCCCCGUAGGGUUUCCAAGAAGAGCCUGCUGGAUUCGAACUGCCACCCUUUUGGGUAGCAGCCGUGGCUUUUAACCACUAUACCGCCAGGAUUUCCAUAAAUAUUAAACAAUGAAAUUAUACGAUGUCUGAGAUUUGCUUUAAAAUAGUUCAUUGGGGUGAAGGGGAAAAUGUUGGAAGUAUGGCUGAAACAAGGUUGGCCGUAUGUUGGUUAUUGCUCAGGCUGGGUGAUGGGUACGUGGUGGUUUAAUAUACUAUUCUCUACCCAUGUGAUAUGUGAACAUUUUCAGCCUCGAAAGCCCUGUGGAUCAGUUCUAAUCUGCACACAUGGGGUCACCAUGAGUUGGGAUCAACUUGAUGGCAACCAACAACAACGCAACAAUAAUAAAAAAAAGUCAGAAAGAAUGAGAGAGGGGGAGAGAGAAUAGGAAAAAGAAAGAUGGGGAAGGAGAGAGAAAAGAAGGAAGAAAGGAUGGAGAGAGGGAGGAGGGUAGAAGGCAGGAAAGAAGGAAGAAAGGAAGGAAAGAAGGGUUUCUUUUCAAGGGCUACUGCAGUGGACACAAAUUAGAGAGGCUGACCUACCUACCACGAAUUCUAAUGUGUGCUACCCAAGGUGAGCCAACCAGGUCUUCACUCCGAGAAAUGAUAGCCUGACUGUCACUGGCAGUGCCCCAGAGAGAGGGUCCAUGACCACCAGGAGGGGAGAUAUUCCUACACAGAACAGCUCUGGAUAACAUCCUUCCCAAGGCCAGGUGCUCUGCAAUUCCUUCCAUCCUGUAGCCUACCAAAACAGUCUCCAAACACUCCUUGCAUGGCCAGGUGAGCCUAAGUUUCUCUCUCUGCUGCCUGUACCUGGAGCACCUUAACUAAUACAGACUCAAAAGGCUCAACUUUUCCCCACACUCAGAAACAAGUAUUUCUCCACUCCAUGCUUUUUAGCUGCUCUUCUCUCAUUAGCUUUUUGUGGUAGAGGGGGCAAGUUUUCACAUACCGAUACACAGGUACUCAUUUACCAGUCAUUUCUGCUACCAGGUGUUUGCCUGUUCUUUUAGAAAUUGCUUUCAUACAAAACCUGUAUUAAAUUUAAAACAAUGUCAGUUUUGGUCAGUGGAUCCUUUUUCCUAGCAAAGUGCUACCUCACCCCCCUGGUCUUUCUCCUCUGUCAAAACCUCCUAUCCAGUUCUUCACCCUCCAAGAAGUCAUAGCAGAUCACGGUGGAAAGUGUCACUAAUACAGGGAAGUUUCAUUUACAAUGAUUCAUUCAACAAACAUUUAUGGAGAAGCUAGUGUGCUGGGUGCUAGCAUAUAAUAGGCACCAGUUCUUAUGUUGAAGGAGCGAUGUAGGAGUCUAGAGACAGGAGCCCAACAGAUACACAGCUACAGUCGAGAGUGACACACGCUCCACACACACAGGAUGGCUCCUAGCCUGGGGCUGGGCCCUCAGAACUGGCUCCUGACGAGGACAAUGGCUCAGCUACUACCCGAGAACCGAGGAUAAACCUCCGAUUCCUCCCAGUAUAUCAUCCCACACACUCAGGAGCACAAGUGACACUGGUUUAUAACCAAGCAUGCUUUUCCUCAUUCUGACCUUCAUUUAUUCUCGUUCAAGUUCAUCCUCCCUAGCACGUUCAAUCCAAUCCCAUGACUUUUCAACCAAAUUCAAGAUGCACAAGACUCACCGUCCCAGUGCUUCCUCACCAAAUUUUCUCUCACCCCAUGGUUGAUUCCUCUAGCGCAGCUGUUCUCAGCUAGGGGUCAUUCCACCCCCACCCCCACAAGGAACAUCAGGCAAUGUCUGGGAACAUUUCUAGCUGUCACAACAGAAGAGGGGGAAGGCUACUGGCAUCUAGUGAGUGGUGGCCAGGACUGCUGCUUAACAUCCUACCAGACACAGAACAACCUCCAUGACAAAACUUAUCCAAUGCCAAAUGUCAACAGUGUCACGGUUGAGAAAACCUGCUUUCAUGAUUUUGCCUUGCUUUAGCCUCAUCAAGGAGGACUCUGGGGCAUGUGCUGGCUGGGUCAGGCCCCUAGAAGACUUCUGCAGCUUACUCUAGAUCAUGGAACAUUCUGGAUUCUUUGCAUGGUAUCUUAGUUAUCUGGCGCUGUUAUAAUAGAAAUACCACAAGUGGAUGGCUUUAACAAAGAGAAAUCUACUCUCACAGUCUAGGAAGCUAGAAGUCUGAAUUCAGGGUGCCAGCUCCAGGGGGAGGCUUUCUUUCUUUGUUGACUCUAGAGGAAGGUCCUUGUCCUCAAUCUUCCCCUGGUCAUGGAGCUUCACCACACAGGAACCCCAGGUCUAAAGAACACACUCUGCUCCUGGUGAUGCUUUCUUAGUGGUGUCUUGGUGAUGCCUCUCUGCUUGCUUCUCUCUUUUACACCUCAGAAGAGAUUGGCUUACGACACAACCUAAUUUUGUAGAUUGAGUCCUGCCUCGUUUACAUAACUGCCUCUAAUCCUGCCUCAUUAACAUCAUAGAGGUGGGGUUUACAACACGUAUCAGAUGGCAAAAUAAUGGACAAUCACACAAUAUUGAGAAUCACAGCCUAGCCAAAUUGACACACAUUUCUGGGGAACACAAUUCAGUCCAUAGCACAUGGCCACAGGAGACACCGACUGUCCACUGGCACUCUAUCCUUGCCCAACCAUUCAUGUCAUUCCAUCACUUCCACUGCCUUCCCUCAUCUGUUGACACAUGACAUACCCACAAUGAAUCCUACUAGGGACCAGAAUGCCAGGUUCUCAGUCCUCCCCAUGCCUGAGUAGACCACGUGAGCGUGUAUCCUUAGCUGUCCUUAGGUCAUAACAGUUCUACGUGUCUAGUAUCUUUCUCAGUGGCCUGUUUAUGUGUGUGUGUUAGGGGAUCUCUUACACAAGUAGAAAUUAUAAGAAAAAGUACGUACAUGUAGAGUAGAGAGAGGCAUUUCAGGCAGGGGAAACAGUGUGUGGAAAACAUGGAGGCAUGGGAAGGAGGCAGCUUCAGAGAACAGCAAGUGGUUUACAUGCAUAGAAUGUGAGCUGGGCGUGGAAGGAAAUAGGACUGGAACCUGGGAGUGGAGGACGUGAGGACAGGCCUUGCACACUGUGUUAAGGAGUGUGGGGCUAAUGGCUUGGAGGGGGGUUUUAAGCUAGGGAGAAACUUCAUAUUUUGGACUAAUCUGAUUGGCCCUGGCCAUGUAGAAGAAAGUAAGAAUGGAGACAGAGACCCUCAACAGAGGUCAGAUAGUGCUCCUUCUGAGACACAAUGGAGCUGCUCCCAAGGUACAAGAGCUCUGAGUGGAAAGAAGUGAAUGGAUGGAAAGCUAUGAAGGAGGACAAACCAUCAGGACCUGGAUUUAGGGAGGGAGUCAGGGAGGUCAAGGCAGGGCCAGUGAAAUGGGGAGCACUGGCUUCAAGGUGUGCAAUGAUGGGCUCCAUUUUCAGACAGGUUGACUUAGAGAUCCUGAGAACAUUCAGGUGGCAGUGUUGGGGAGGAGCUGGGUGCACUGGCCUUGAACUUAGCAGUGCAAAGGAUGGAGUUCUACAUCUGGAGGUCACGGGCAAUUAGAGGCCAGUGACUGUGGGAGUGGAUGAGAUGGAUCCCUGAGGAACACAGGCAUGAAAAGGAGCCCCAAAGAAGACCAAGAAGAUGUGCCAAGGAGGGUGGACAUUGUAGAGAAGACAGCUGUCUCUCAGGAAGAGGGAGUGUCACAAUGUCAAGUGCUGCAGAGACGCCAAGCAAGAUAAAGGCGGAAAAAACACCUCCUGACUCCAGGAAGCAACCAGAAUAACAGGAUAACUUGAUACUUGUGCUUUGUCUCGUCCUGCAACCAACCAUGACAAGGGGCUGCAAAGUAAUAUUGUGUCCUUACACCUAGAAAAACACAGCUUUAGUCCCCAUGUUCUGGGUCCUCCAGAGGGGCCAGGACCAGGCUUUGUGGUACACUGGGGGAGCGAAAUGGGCCCUGGUGGUGCAGUGGGUAAAGCUAACUGAAAGGUCGGUGGUUUGAAACCACCAGGAGCUCCAUGGUGCUUUUGUAAAGAUUUACAGUCUUAGAAAACCUAUGUGGUCACUAUGAGCCAGAAUUGACUUGAUGGCGGUGGGUUUGUUUUUUCAUCUAUUUGUUUUUUGGAGGGUGGGGGGAGUCGGGGACCCUUUCCUGAGGGGGUGACUAAAUCCUUUGGGACGAGAAAGGGGACCAAAGGCUCUGGUGCAGAGACAGGAGCCACCUCAAAUCCAGCUCCUUGGAGCCUGCAGGGCCUGGGGAAGGAGAGGCUGAGGGGCCUCUGAGGAGCUUGGGGAACUACCCCUGUGGGAGAGCUGGGCAGGGAGGAAGCAGAGUUGGAGCCCUGGCAGAACUCCCAACAUCUGGGGCCCACGUGGGCAUAGGCUGGGAGCUGGGUCCAAGAAAUCAACCAGAUUGAAGACCAGGGCGAAACCUCUUCCUGCUUGAUUAGAAAGCGUCACAAUUUAAUUCUGUUAAAGGAUUUUUUUUUUUUUAAGUGAAGACACUGAUUGGCUUAUUACCUUUUAUUCAUGAGAAAAAGAUUUCUUAUCUAUUUAAAAUAUAGUUAGUAUAGGACCAGUGACUGUCUGACCAACCCAUCCUAUGAAAACCGGACAGUGGCCGAUCAGGUAGGGAAAGGAGAAGGAGUGGAAAGAGAAAGGAAAGCUGGAGGUGCAGGGCUGAGAGGACACUCUACUUCCUCUUUGACCCUGUCUUCAGGCUCCAAUGAUAGCGGAUGAGUAACAGUGGGUAGUCACGUGGAGCAUGUGGUCUGUGUGGACUGGCCGUGCACGUGACUUCCCUCUUCAGUGUGCCAAGCCCGCAUACGUGUCCCAUGGCCUUAUGACACUGUGGCUUUGGACAUUUCAGUUUCCAUUUCUUGUCAUUCAGGGUAAAUGAAAUUUACAGAAAACCCAGAGCCCUCAGUGUGCACAGUGGGCACUACGGGGCUCCGGCUAGGUGACCUUUUCUGGGAAACGCACCCACUCCAGCUGCUGGCAAUAGGCCUGCUGACAGCUUGAAGUGGCACCCUCCACUGGAUGCUGCUCUUUGCCAAGGAGAAAUGCCUGCCCAGGCUACGGCUGUCCGCAGGAGAUCCAAUGACUGGCUGAUGUGGGAUUGCAAAGCCAACUGGGACAACUCAAUUUAGGACAACUCUGAAGGGGCCCUCCAGCUCCAGAGCUCCUGAUAGGGUCAGAUGAGGCCUUAGUUGUAACCACAUUGUGGGCCGGUUUCUUCCUCUGCUCAGUCCUGUCUUGCACACUCUCUUCCAGAUGUAUCUGGAAAUUCUCCCCAACAAACCUUCUGCAUGCAACUCUGCCUCUCAGAGUCCUGGAUUCCCAUGAAUCCAAUACAAAACAGUCUGACUCUUGGCUUCAACUUCCUCUUCCACCAAAAGUCAGAUGCCAAUAAGUAAUAAAAUAUCACCACCUUGAGUUCUACUACUUUCCCUUGCCUUAGCCCAUUUCUGGAAGACAAAUAAAUGGGCCCUCAAGAAUCUGAAAGAAAAAUGAAAGAUAUUAGGAGGGAAGGGAGGAGAGGUGCUAAUUCCUACUAGCUAAUUCCUACUCAGGCUUUCAGCUUAGGUGAUACUUAUACCAGGAAACCUUCCCUGAUGCCUCCCAGACUAGGCCAGGUGCCCUCGCUGUCUAUAUGGGCAAAAGCAUAGCUCCUGUGUGUUUCUUCCAGCUUAUCACUUGACUUCUGAAUUAUAAUUGAUGUGGCAAUCUGCUUCCAUAAAGAUUACAGCCUUGGAAACCCUAUGGGGCAGUUCUACUCUGUCCUAUAGGGUCGCUAUGAGUCAGAAUCGACUCGACAGCACUGGGUUUGAUUUUGGUUGGUUUGGGUAUUGACCAGAGAAUGACUAAGUGAUUGACUAUUGGAUCUCAGAUAGACAAGGAGGGGCUGAUAGGCAGAAGCUGGAGGGCUUGGUGAAAGAGAACAGCAGAUAUAGAAGGAGUAAGAGAGAUUAAAGGAGUAGCGGUUAUAAUCAGAAAAGUGUACAAGGUUAUUCCAAGAGUUCAGAGGUAGUUCGAUGCAAACAAACCUGAAAAUCUGCCCAUGGGUGUGAACACUAGUGGAGUGAAACUGAAGGCCAAUGAAGUUGAGCUGAUCAGCUAAAAGUCUUGGGCACUGAAUGGGGGUCCACAUGGGCAACUAAGUAACCGGGUGAUGGAGGAAAUUGGGGUGAAUAGGGACAAGUUUAAAAAAAAAAAAGAAAGAA
Loxodonta africana (African savanna elephant) is the source of this 15902-nucleotide RNA transcript. It is a transcript of the gene named chemokine (C-C motif) receptor 5, with no coding region annotated. NCBI's taxonomy places the organism in Eukaryota, Metazoa, Chordata, Mammalia, Proboscidea, Elephantidae. The transcript is spliced from 3 exons. The record is from RefSeq and is marked provisional.